This 753-nucleotide long non-coding RNA is filed under the name Rhinopithecus bieti (black snub-nosed monkey). RNAcentral's name for it is "lncRNA (ENSRBIG00000045367.1)". Lineage: Eukaryota; Metazoa; Chordata; Mammalia; Primates; Cercopithecidae. The record is from RNAcentral.
CUCUCUCUCUCUCACUUUCUCCUUUUCUCCCUUCCUUCCUUCUUUUAUUUCUUUUUCACUUUCAGACUUCCACUGGUGCUCAGGAUACAUGGAGCAGCAUCAGGGGAGUAAGGAAAAGUCUGGAGCUCUCUGAUCAUUUCAGAGACCUCUCCUGGGGCUCACGGGUUAGGGCAAACCACAAGCCCAUGGCUGCUACACAGAAAUGUGGACCAGCCCUUCUACUGAUAUGGAGAAGCCAAGCCCAGAAGAUUCAUUUGACCAUUACUAAGCAAUAGAGGAAAAUGAGGAUAGUGCCUGACAGCACAUGAAGCUGACCCAAGCUGGCCCUGUGUCCCAGAAGGGUUAGAAGACAACUCAUAUAGCAGUUAAUAAAGGACAAGAAAGCUCUUUUGAUAUCUCCUUAUUUGGAAUCCCAAAGCAUAUGACUCUAACACUGCUCUCUACUAAAGGACAAAUAGGACCCUGUGAGGUUGAAAAGGAAGAAAGACAGAGAGAGAGAGAACCAGAGACAGACAGCCCCAGAGAUGGACAGAGACUUAAAGAAAUUGUCUCACGUAAUUGUGAGUCCGAAAUCUGCAGGGCAGGCUUACAGGCUGGAAAUUCAGGUAAGAGUUGAUGUAGCAGCCUUGAGUUAAAAGACUGGAAACUUAAGCAGAAUUUCUAUGUUACGGUCUGGAGGCUUAAUUCCUUCUUCUUUGGGGGACCUCAGUCUUUGCUGCUAAAGCUUUCAACUGAUUGGAUGAGGCCCACCCA